UUACCGGUGCUGAAGUUAACACAUUAAGUGCUCCGCCUGAGUAGUACGGUCGCAAGACUGAAACUCAAAGGAAUUGACGGGCACCCGCACAAGCGGUGGAGCAUGUUGUUUAAUUCGAAAAUACGCGAAGAACCUUACCUAGGCUUGACAUCCCUGGCAAAGCUAUAGAAAUAUAGUGGAGGUUAUCCAGGUGACAGGUGGUGCAUGGUUGUCGUCAGCUCGUGUCGUGAGAUGUUCAGUUAAGUCUGCUAACGAGCGCAACCCUUGUCGAUAGUUGCUAACAUUUAGUUGAGAACUCUAUCGAGACUGCCAGGUAUAACCGGAGGAAGGUGGGGAUGACGUCAAAUCAUCAUGCCCCUUACGUCUAGGGCAACAGGCGUGCUACAAUGGCUGGUACAAUGAGUCGCAAAACCGCGAGGUGGAGCUAAUCUCCAAAGCCAGUCUCAGUUCGGAUUGAAGUCUGCAACUCGACUUCAUGAAGCUGAAAUCGCUAGUAAUCCCGGAUCAGAAUGCCGGGGUGAAUACGUUCUCGGGUGUUGUACACACCGCCCGUCACGGCAUGGGAGUCAAUAAUAUCCGAAGCCGGUAGCCUAACCCGAAAGGGAGGGGGCCGUCGAAGAUAGGAUUGGUGACUGGGCUGAAGUCGUAACAAGGUAUCCCUACCGGAAGGUGGGGAUG
RNAcentral lists this ribosomal RNA (678 nucleotides) under human gut metagenome. Its description in RNAcentral is "bacterial SSU rRNA". It matches the Rfam family "Bacterial small subunit ribosomal RNA", at positions 837 to 1520 of the family's 1533-position model. The record is from RNAcentral.